GCGUGGCUCGGUUCUUGUGAGCGAAGCUUUGUCCGGUUCGGCAAUGGACGGAAUCGUCACUGAGGUUGCAGUUGGCGUGAAGAGAGGAUCUGACGAACUACUCUCAGGCAGUGUUCUCAGUAGUCCAAACUCUAAUAUGAGCAGCAUGGUAGUUACAGCCAAUGGUAACGAUAGUAAAAAAUUUAAAGGAGAAGAUAAAAUGGAUGGUGCUCCUUCUCGUGUACUUCAUAUUCGAAAAUUACCUGGGGAAGUAACAGAAACUGAAGUUAUUGCUUUAGGCUUACCUUUUGGUAAGGUGACCAACAUCCUUAUGCUGAAAGGAAAAAAUCAGGCAUUUUUGGAACUAGCAACCGAGGAAGCAGCUAUUACUAUGGUUAAUUACUAUUCUGCUGUGACACCUCAUCUUCGUAACCAACCAAUAUAUAUCCAGUACUCGAAUCACAAAGAACUAAAGACAGAUAAUACAUUAAACCAACGUGCUCAAGCAGUUCUUCAAGCUGUGACAGCUGUCCAGACAGCAAAUACUCCUCUUAGUGGCACCACAGUUAGCGAGAGUGCAGUGACUCCAGCCCAGAGUCCAGUACUUAGAAUAAUUAUUGACAACAUGUACUACCCUGUAACACUUGAUGUUCUUCACCAAAUAUUUUCUAAGUUUGGUGCUGUAUUGAAGAUAAUCACAUUUACAAAAAAUAACCAGUUUCAAGCUUUGCUCCAGUAUGGUGAUCCAGUAAAUGCUCAACAGGCAAAACUAGCCCUAGAUGGUCAGAAUAUUUAUAAUGCCUGCUGUACCCUAAGGAUUGAUUUUUCCAAACUUGUGAAUUUGAAUGUAAAAUACAACAAUGAUAAAAGUAGGGAUUAUACUCGACCUGAUCUUCCAUCUGGGGAUGGACAACCUGCAUUGGACCCAGCUAUUGCUGCAGCAUUUGCCAAGGAGACAUCCCUCUUAGCUGUUCCAGGAGCUCUGAGUCCUUUGGCUAUUCCAAAUGCUGCUGCAGCAGCUGCUGCAGCUGCUGCUGGCCGAGUGGGUAUGCCUGGAGUCUCAGCUGGUGGCAAUACAGUCCUGUUGGUUAGCAAUUUAAAUGAAGAGGUGUUUAUGGAGAUGUGCAGCGUGUGAAGAUUUUGUACAAUAAGAAAGACAGCGCUCUAAUACAGAUGGCUGAUGGAAACCAAUCACAACUUGCCAUGAAUCAUCUUAAUGGACAGAAAAUGUAUGGAAAAAUUAUUCGUGUUACUCUGUCUAAACAUCAGACUGUACAGCUACCUCGAGAGGGACUUGAUGAUCAAGGGCUAACAAAAGAUUUUGGUAAUUCCCCAUUGCAUCGUUUUAAGAAACCUGGAUCCAAAAAUUUUCAAAACAUUUUUCCUCCUUCUGCCACUCUUCACCUAUCUAAUAUCCCUCCAUCAGUAGCAGAAGAGGAUCUACGAACACUGUUCGCUAACACUGGGGGCACUGUGAAAGCAUUUAAGUUUUUUCAAAGAGAUCACAAAAUGGCUCUUCUUCAGAUGGCAACAGUAGAAGAAGCUAUUCAGGCCUUGAUUGAUCUUCAUAAUUAUAACCUUGGAGAAAACCAUCAUCUGAGAGUGUCUUUCUCCAAGUCAACAAUUUAAAAAUGGGAAGAUGAAGAUUGGGGGUGAAUCACAUUGUUCAAUGUCAUCACCUAUUUGACUGUUCAGAAAAGUGGGGACCAGAG
This 1691-nucleotide small RNA is filed under the name Pongo abelii (Sumatran orangutan). Its description in RNAcentral is "processed transcript". Lineage: Eukaryota; Metazoa; Chordata; Mammalia; Primates; Hominidae. The record is from RNAcentral.